GACGAACGCUGGCGGCUUGCUUAACACAUGCAAGUCGAACGGAAAGGCCCUGCUUUUGUGGGGUGCUCGAGUGGCAAACGGGUGAGUAACACGUGAGUACCCUGCCCUUGACUUUGGGAUAACUUCAGGAAACUGGGGCUAAUCCCGGAUAGGAGCUCCUGCUGCAUGGUGGGGGUGGGAAAGUUUCAGCGGUUGGGGAUGGACUCGCGGCUUAUCAGCUUGUUGGUGGGGUAGUGGCUUACCAAGGCUUUGACGGGUAGCCGGCCUGAGGGGGUGACCGGCCACAUUGGGACUGAGAUACGGCCCAGACUCCUACGGGAGGCAGCAGUGGGGAAUAUUGCACAAUGGGCGGAAGCCUGAUGCAGCAACGCCGCGUGCGGGAUGACGGCCUUCGGGUUGUAAACCGCUUUCGCCUGUGACGAAGCGUGAGUGACGGUAAUGGGUAAAGAAGCACCGGCUAACUACGUG
RNAcentral lists this ribosomal RNA (468 nucleotides) under uncultured bacterium. Its description in RNAcentral is "partial 16S ribosomal RNA". It matches the Rfam family "Bacterial small subunit ribosomal RNA", at positions 28 to 507 of the family's 1533-position model. The record is from RNAcentral.